UCCCUGGUGGCUCAGACGGUAAAGCAUCUGCCUACAAGGCAGGAGACACGGGUUCAAUCCCUGGGUUGGGAA
This 72-nucleotide transfer RNA is filed under the name Ovis aries (sheep). It matches the Rfam family "tRNA". Rfam says of the family: Transfer RNA (tRNA) molecules are approximately 80 nucleotides in length. Lineage: Eukaryota; Metazoa; Chordata; Mammalia; Artiodactyla; Bovidae. The record is from Rfam by way of RNAcentral.